UAAGGAAUAUUGGUCAAUGGACGCAAGUCUGAACCAGCCAUGCCGCGUGGAGGAUUAAGGCCCUCUGGGUUGUAAACUCCUUUUAUCUGGGAAGAAAUGUACUUUUUCUUGAGUACUUGACGGUACCAGAGGAAUAAGCACCGGCUAACUCCGUGCCAGCAGCCGCGGUAAUACGGAGGCUGCAAGCGUUAUCCGGAUUCACUGGGUUUAAAGGGUGCGUAGGUGGGCAGGUAAGUCAGUGGUGAAAUCUCCGGGCUUAACCCGGAAACUGCCGUUGAUACUAUUUGUCUUGAAUAUUGUGGAGGUAAGCGGAAUAUGUCAUGUAGCGGUGAAAUGCUUAGAUAUGACAUAGAACACCAAUUGCGAAGGCAGCUUACUACACAAUCAUUGACGCUGAGGCACGAAAGCGUGGGGAUCAAACA
Molecule: ribosomal RNA, 422 nt
Filed under: uncultured bacterium
Lineage: Bacteria
Description: bacterial SSU rRNA
Rfam family: Bacterial small subunit ribosomal RNA
Source: RNAcentral